This 704-nucleotide ribosomal RNA is filed under the name uncultured fungus. Its description in RNAcentral is "eukaryotic LSU rRNA". The stretch from base 291 to 444 matches the Rfam family "5.8S ribosomal RNA". The record is from RNAcentral. Lineage: Eukaryota; Fungi.
UUUGGUCAGGCAGCGCGUCAGCUUCCCAUAAGUGCAAGAAUUUGACUUCUGUAGGGUGACUGCGGAAGGAUCAUUAUGCACAUGUGGGACGCUAAUGCGUUUCCCUGACCCAAACCCUUUCUGCGUACCAAUCCAUGUUGCUUUCCCAGGUCGUUUGGUGCUAGUGGCCAAUCGAUGUUACCUGCUAGCUGAACGAGCUAUGGAGGACCCUGGGAAAGGACUCAUCCAAAGCGAAUCAUUGAAUCAGCUGUCUGAGUUGGCCUAGUGCCAUUAUUAUUUGAACAAGUUAAAACUUUCAACAACGGAUCUCUUGGCUCUCGCAUCGAUGAAGAACGCAGCGAAAUGCGAUAAGUAAUGUGAAUUGCAGAAUUCAGUGAAUCAUCGAAUCUUUGAACGCACAUUGCGCCCCUUGGUAUUCCUUGGGGCAUGCCUGUUCGAGCGUCACUGCAAACCCGCUCAUGAAUAUUAUCAUGGUAUUGAUGGAAGUGAACUGGGACUACAACUGUGCCCGGAUCACUCUGUCGAAAUGCAUAGGCAGGACAAUUAGCCUCUGCAAGGGACUUAGUAGCUGUUUUGAAGACAAAAACCAGUCCUGCGCAAGGUUCGGACCUGGCCUCCAUGGACCUCCAUCUAAGAUGAACUCUGGGUUGACCUCGGAUCAUGUAGGGAUACCCGCUGACUUAAGCAUAUCAAUAAGCGGAGGA